UACGAAGGGAGCUAGCGUUGUUCGGAAUCACUGGGCGUAAAGCGCACGUAGGCGGAUGUGUCAGUCAGGGGUGAAAUCCCGGGGCUCAACCUCGGAACUGCCUUUGAUACAGCACGUCUUGAGUUCGGGAGAGGUGAGUGGAACUGCGAGUGUAGAGGUGAAAUUCGUAGAUAUUCGCAAGAACACCAGUGGCGAAGGCGGCUCACUGGCCCGAUACUGACGCUGAGGCACGAAAGCGUGGGGAGCAAACAGG
Molecule: ribosomal RNA, 253 nt
Filed under: uncultured bacterium
Lineage: Bacteria
Description: partial 16S ribosomal RNA
Rfam family: Bacterial small subunit ribosomal RNA
Source: RNAcentral